This 461-nucleotide long non-coding RNA is filed under the name Lonchura striata (white-rumped munia). RNAcentral describes it as "domestica (Bengalese finch) lncRNA (ENSLSDG00000003793.1)". The record is from RNAcentral. Lineage: Eukaryota; Metazoa; Chordata; Aves; Passeriformes; Estrildidae.
UGAUCGUGCAGCGCUGCCUUGCCGGCCGCUCCCUCACCCACGUCCGCGCCGGCUGCGUCCUCUGCGGCUACCUCAAGGUGCUGCCCAUGUUCCUGAUGGUGCUGCCCGGCAUGGCCGCCCGCGUCCUCUUCCCGGGUCAGCUCCCCACUGCUUUAUACUGGUUUAUACUGGUUUAUACUGGUUUAGAAUGAUUUCUAUUCGUUUAAGGCACUUAUCCAAUAUGGCGCCCAAAAUGGCUGCCUCCAUUGGGGUUUUUAAGAUGGCUGCCCAAGAUGGCUCCCCACUAUGGCCACCCAUUGGUGCACACUGGUUUUACUGGUUUAUACUGGUUUAUACUGGUUUAGAAUGCUUUAUCAUCAUUUAAGGCACUAAUCCAAUAUGGCGCCCAAAAUGGCUGCCACCAUUGGAGUUUACAAAAUGGCUGCCCAAAAUGGCUGUCAUAGCAUGAAUCUAAGAUGGCU